CCCAGACUCCUACGGGAGGCAGCAGUGGGGGAUAUUGCACAAUGGGGGAAACCCUGAUGCAGCGACGCCGCGUGGGUGAAGAAGCGCCUCGGCGCGUAAAGCCCUGUCAGCAGGGAAGAAAGUGACGGUACCUGAAGAAGAAGCCCCGGCUAACUACGUGCCGGCAGCCGCGGUAAUACGUAGGUGGCAAGCGUUGUCCGGAUUUACUGGGUGUAAAGGGCGUGCAGCCGGGCCGACAAGUCAGAUGUGAAAUCCGCGGGCUUAACCCGCGAACUGCAUUUGAAACUAUAGGUCUUGAGUGCCGGAGAGGUAAUCGGAAUUCCUUGUGUAGCGGUGAAAUGCGUAGAUAUAAGGAAGAACACCAGUGGCGAAGGCGGAUUACUGGACGGUAACUGACGGUGAGGCGCGAAAGCGUGGGGAGCAAACAGGAUUAGAUACCCUAGUACA
Molecule: ribosomal RNA, 447 nt
Filed under: uncultured bacterium
Lineage: Bacteria
Description: partial 16S ribosomal RNA
Rfam family: Bacterial small subunit ribosomal RNA
Source: RNAcentral